RNAcentral lists this ribosomal RNA (468 nucleotides) under uncultured bacterium. RNAcentral describes it as "partial 16S ribosomal RNA". It matches the Rfam family "Bacterial small subunit ribosomal RNA", at positions 28 to 507 of the family's 1533-position model. The record is from RNAcentral.
GACGAACGCUGGCGGCGUGCUUAACACAUGCAAGUCGAACGGAAAGGCCCUGCUUUUGUGGGGUGCUCGAGUGGCGAACGGGUGAGUAACACGUGAGUAACCUGCCCUUGACUUUGGGAUAACUUCAGGAAACUGGGGCUAAUCCCGGAUAGGAGCUCCUGCUGCAUGGUGGGGGUUGGAAAGUUUCGGCGGUUGGGGAUGGACUCGCGGCUUAUCAGCUUGUUGGUGGGGUAGUGGCUUACCAAGGCUUUGACGGGUAGCCGGCCUGUGAGGGUGACCGGCCACAUUGGGACUGAGAGACGGCCCAGACGCCUACGGGAGGCAGCAGUGGGGAAUAUUGCACAAUGGGCGGAAGCCUGAUGCAGCAACGCCGCGUGCGGGAUGACGGCCUUCGGGUUGUAAACCGCUGUCGCCUGUGACGAAGCGUGAGUGACGGUAAUGGAUAAAGAAGCACCGGCUAACUACGUG